This 284-nucleotide ribosomal RNA is filed under the name uncultured bacterium. Its description in RNAcentral is "partial 16S ribosomal RNA". It matches the Rfam family "Bacterial small subunit ribosomal RNA", at positions 75 to 353 of the family's 1533-position model. The record is from RNAcentral.
UUAGCUUGCUAAGUUUGAUGGCGACCGGCGCACGGGUGAGUAACACGUAUCCAACCUACCCUUUACUCGGGGAUAGCCUUUCGAAAGAAAGAUUAAUACCCGAUAGCAUAAUGAUUCCGCAUGGUUUCAUUAUUAAAGGAUUCCGGUAAAGGAUGGGGAUGCGUUCCAUUAGGUUGUUGGCGGGGUAACGGCCCACCAAGCCUUCGAUGGAUAGGGGUUCUGAGAGGAAGGUCCCCCCACAUUGGAACUGAGACACGGUCCAAACUCCUACGGGAGGCAGCAUG